UUCCUAAUUUUUUAAAUUUUUAAUCGUACAAUUUUUUUAAUUUAAAAUUUAAUAUAUUAUUUAAAACAACACAUUAAGUUUUAUGGGAAUAAGUAUCAUAAUUUAAUUGCAAAUAAACUAAAAAUUUUUGAAAAUCACAUUCAUAGAAAAGAACGCAGAGAAGCGUUAAAAAAUAUUUUAUUUAAAUAAAAUUUUAUAUUAUUUUGGUGUAAAAGUAUACAAUGUUCAUUAAUCCUAGAACACACAUUGGGUCCCCAGAGCGAUUUCCUCUCCUUCCAUAGUGCCGCCCGAAAUCCCGGACUGGGGAAGAGAGGAAAUGUUUGUUAGUUAUGACAUAACUGUUAUGCUAUAACCUUGAAUGGUUGCCGGCGUCAGUCAUCCUUCAGCAACGAAAAUAAACAAAUAUAAACUUUUGCUUGAAGUCUCAGUGACCCCAAAGCGUGAUAACGCUACUUUUUUUAACAAAUUAAAAGUAUACAACUUUGCAGUUAAAUAGAUUAUUUUGUAAGUAUUAUCAUUAUUGUUGAGAAUUAUAAAAUUUUAUGUAUUAUUAUAAUAUAUAGAGGAGAAGGUGGUAAUAUGGCCAGUGCGGAUAAUAUGGUUAGCCAUAUUAUCUCCGUUAUUAGCUGAUAAAUUCUAAUAAUUAAUUAUGAUAUCAUUUGUUUAGUAGUCUACUGUUAUAUAAUGAUGCUAAUAUGACAAAACACAACAGUCAACAUUUGUUAUAAAACAUUUUUACUUUUAAGAAUUUCGAACAUUUUUUAAGGUACAUUUUAACAUUUAAUUACACAUACUUCUUCAUUCUUUUUAAUCUUAACUAAUUAUCACCCAAUUGUAUGUACACUUGAGUACUUUCUUAUUACUUAACUCUUUAUUCGGCUAUAUAUUUCGAAUUAUACAAAGUUAAACGAUGAUAUAGAAUGUUGUCAAUGUAGCCAUCUAAGUGUGCUAGUAAGAUUUCUUCGAGUUAACGUUCUCAAAGGCUGUUAAUUUAAUAAUGUUAAUUAAGACUGUUUAAAAGCUGUAAAUUUAAGAGUGUUAAUUUUUUAAAAUCCUUUAAAUGAAUAAGGUUUUUUAGAUUUAAAAUUAUUUUUAUUUAACUUCCAUUAAAUGUGAGUAAAAAUCACUGUUUUGAUAUAACAACUUAUUUUAUAUAAAUAUACAGGAUGUCCAAAAACAUGUAGGUCAACGCUCGUAAAAAGAUAAGGGCUCAGCCAAGAGAGCUCAGUAUCGGAGCUUCUAGGCCUGAUGAUGCAAACUGCAACGUUUGCGAAACGUUGGCGCAACGCUAUACCAGAACGCAUACAUCCGGAAGCCCUUUCUAUUGGAAGCAAAGAAAAUCGCACCUGUUUGAGUGUUCAUGAAGUCACGAGGACCCCCCAGAGCGGGUUUAUGAAAGUUUUUUUACGUGCGUGUUCUAGGGUUAACUAUACAAUUUUCUUUAUAGAUAAUAUUCUCUUAAAUAUAAUAAUAUAUUAGUAAAAAUGUAACAACGACGUUUAUUACUACAUUUAAAUCAUUAUAAACAAUAUUUUCCAAUAUUUAUGCGAGUGCGGUGAAUCUCAUGCAAGUGGACACACUCGCCUUCGGUUCCAUAUCUCGCACUUACAAGCAAUGUCGCAUACAAUAUUUUUUACUACCUGUGAAAAGGACCAUUUUCGGUGACUGAUAGCAAAAAAAAAAAUUUUUAAUUGUUUUUUUGCUUAAAUUUUGUUCGUUAUUUAUUUAAAAAAUGUCAAUAUCAAAAUUUUCUUUGUUAAUAUAUAUAUAUAUAUAAAGAAAAGUCACGUGGCAUUUUUGAAAAUUAAUCAUAAAAAAACCACUUAAGUUUUAAAUUUAAUGCUAAAUGAAAUAAUAUGAAUUACCUACAAUUAUUUACCCACAAUGUAGAUUUAACUUACUGGAAAAAUAGAAUUCGAAAAGUAAUAAAACACUGUUAUUUA
Long non-coding RNA from Monomorium pharaonis (pharaoh ant), 1943 nucleotides. RefSeq lists it as uncharacterized. The record is from RefSeq and is a predicted model, not a curated record. NCBI's taxonomy places the organism in Eukaryota, Metazoa, Arthropoda, Insecta, Hymenoptera, Formicidae. The transcript has 2 exons.